RNAcentral lists this ribosomal RNA (497 nucleotides) under uncultured bacterium. Its description in RNAcentral is "partial 16S ribosomal RNA". It matches the Rfam family "Bacterial small subunit ribosomal RNA", at positions 28 to 507 of the family's 1533-position model. The record is from RNAcentral.
GAUGAACGCUGGCGGCGUGCCUAAUACAUGCCAGUCGAGCGAACGGACGAGAAGCUUGCUUUUCUGAUGUUAGCGGCGGACGGGUGAGUAACACGUGGAUAACCUACCUAUAAGACUGGGAUAACUUCGGGAAACCGGAGCUAAUACCGGAUAAUAUUUUGAACCGCAUGGUUCAAAAGUGAAAGACGGUCUUGCUGUCACUUAUAGAUGGAUCCGCGCUGCAUUAGCUAGUUGGUAAGGUAACGGCUUACCAAGGCAACGAUGCAUAGCCGACCUGAGAGGGUGAUCGGCGACACUGGAACGGAGACACGGUCCAGACUCCUACGGGAGGCAGCAGUAGGGAAUCUUCGGCAAUGGGCGAAAGCCUGACGGAGCAACGCCGCGUGAGUGAUGAAGGUCUUCGGAUCGUAAAACUCUGUUAUUAGGGAAGAACAUAUGUGUAAGUAACUGUGCACAUCUUGACGGUACCUAAUCAGAAAGCCACGGCUAACUACGUG